Molecule: ribosomal RNA, 443 nt
Filed under: uncultured bacterium
Lineage: Bacteria
Description: bacterial SSU rRNA
Rfam family: Bacterial small subunit ribosomal RNA
Source: RNAcentral
GCACAAGCGGUGGAGCAUGUGGUUCAAUUCGACGCAACGCGCAGAACCUUACCUGGGUUAAAUCCGCCAGAAUCCCGCAGAGAUGUAGGAGUGCUCGCAAGAGAGCUGGUGAGAAGGUGCUGCAUGGCUGUCGUCAGCUCGCGCCGUGAGGUGUUGGGUUAAGUCCCGCAACGAGCGCAACCCUCGCUGCCAGUUACCAUGUCUGGCGGGACCGCCGGGUCCAACCCGGAGGAAGGUGGGGAUGAUGUCAAGUCAGCACGGCUCUUACGUCCAGGGCUACACACACGCUACAAUGGCCGGUAUAACGCGCGGCGAUGGGGCGACCCGGAGCGAAUCGCAGCAAAGCCGGUCUCAGUUGGGAUUGCAGGCUGCAACUCGCCUGCAUGAACGCGGAGUUGCUAGUAACCGCAGGUCAGCACACUGCGGUGAAUACGUUCCCGGGC